UAGGGAAUAUUGGACAAUGGGCGAAAGCCUGAUCCAGCAAUGCCGCGUGAGUGAGGAAGGCCUUAGGGUUGUAAAGCUCUUUCGCACGCGACGAUGAUGACGGUAGCGUGUAAAGAAGCCCCGGCUAACUUCGUGCCAGCAGCCGCGGUAAUACGAAGGGGGCAAGCGUUGUUCGGAAUUACUGGGCGUAAAGGGCGCGUAGGCGGCCUUGUUUGUCAGGCGUGAAAGCCCUGGGCUCAACCCAGGAAUUGCGCUUGGGACGGCAAGGCUUGAGUUCGGGAGAGGAGAGUGGAAUUCCCAGUGUAGAGGUGAAAUUCGUAGAUAUUGGGAAGAACACCGGUGGCGAAGGCGGCUCUCUGGACCGAUACUGACGCUGAGGCGCGAAAGCGUGGGGAGCAAACAGGAUUAGAUACCCCCGUAGUCC
This 424-nucleotide ribosomal RNA is filed under the name uncultured bacterium. RNAcentral describes it as "bacterial SSU rRNA". It matches the Rfam family "Bacterial small subunit ribosomal RNA", at positions 355 to 796 of the family's 1533-position model. The record is from RNAcentral.